AAUAGGUUCGAGGUGGAAGCAUGGCGACAUGUGGAGCUGACGAAUACUAAUCGAUCGAAGACUUAAUCAAUUU
This 73-nucleotide ribosomal RNA is filed under the name Staphylococcus kloosii. Its description in RNAcentral is "partial 23S ribosomal RNA". Lineage: Bacteria; Bacillati; Bacillota; Bacilli; Caryophanales; Staphylococcaceae. The record is from RNAcentral.